Carassius gibelio (silver crucian carp) is the source of this 1627-nucleotide long non-coding RNA. RefSeq lists it as uncharacterized. The transcript has 5 exons. The record is from RefSeq and is a predicted model, not a curated record. NCBI's taxonomy places the organism in Eukaryota, Metazoa, Chordata, Actinopteri, Cypriniformes, Cyprinidae.
AGACAGCAAGCCAACAUUGAAUAAACAUUGUUUUUCCAUCUGAAUCAUCAUUAUGGUUGAUAUUGAAAUUUCAAUGCAAAAUAAAUGUUGAAUCAACAUUAUCAUAUCGAUGAAAACCUGAUGUUAUUAAUGUUGAUGGCAACAAUAUUGGAACAACAUUGAUCCAUAGUUAUCUUUAUGAUUGAUUAAGCAUUGAUAUUUGGUUACCGGGUGAUCCCUGAAUGUGUUGAAAAGUAAUUGAUUUAUAGUGGACAGAGAAAUGAUGCUGUUGUUGAAAAGUCAUCGAAAUAUAGUUGACCGGGAAAUAUGAUAGAAAAUGCAUCGAAAUAUAGUUGACCAGGAAAUAUGAUUGAAAAUGCAUCGAAAUAUAGUUGACCGGGAAAUAUGAUUGAAAAUCCAUCGAUUUUUGGUUGACCGGGAGAUCAACGGGUGGUAUACCCAACGUACUGCACCGGACACAGCUCAUUUCUGGACCCUUGGCACAAGCGUACAGGUAAGCUUGCUUAAUGUUCGAUAUGAACCCAGACAGCACAGGCACGCGGUGUGUUUUUAUACAGUCUGUGGGCAGCUGAAGAGACUGGCUCAUUUUCAAAUAAUGUUACCGUUAACUUGUUUAGACAACGGUCACGGUAAAUUAAUGUUAAAGCCUUGAGUUUCCAGCAGUUUCUCGGAGGGAAAAUGUAAAAGCGGUUUAUUAAAGAGAAGUCCUGACUGCUUUUUCGUCGUGUUUUUCACUCUUUUACAGGCUGCCAGAAAGAAUCCGUCUCUAUAGUGAGUGAUUAUUGAAUGAGGCUGUACAUUAUAAAUGUAAUGCUUUAACUCGAGAUGUUUGUUUGUGUGAAUGCUGUGUGUGCGGUGAGUUCUGCGCGAGCGGGGAGCAGAGUUGCCAUGGAAACGGGGCGUCAAUACAAAAACCGUUACUGGCAAGCAGUAAUCUCCGUCUCUUGCUGCGGUUUACGCUGUUUUAGGAGGACAGAAAUAAACUAUACAGAACAAAGUGAAACUCCAAGAUUUUUGAAAAGAAAAUUGGUGAAAUAUAUUCUGAAAAAGGCAUAUUAAUGUAUUUCAUGAGCUUCUUCAGUAAAUCUGUAUUUCUAAGUCAGUAUCUCCCUUCAGAAAUGUUGCUGAAGGGAGAUACUGACUUAGAAAUACAGGUGAACUCAUGAAAAUAAGCUCAUGAAAUACUCAUGAAAGAAGCUCAUGAAAUACAUUAAUAUGCCUUUUUCAGAAUAUAUUUCACCAAUUUUAAGGAGUCCCUGACAUCAAAACAUUGCUUGUUUUGUUCCUGGACUCUUCAGUGAUGAUGAGCAGAGUCUAAGUGAACCUGCUGUCAGACAAUCACUAUUGCACACCAAAUGCUCUUACUCAGCAGAUGGGGACAGCUACCAUCACCCAAUUUUCACCCAAAAGUGGCUGCGCUAUUCGCCAGACCGGGCAGGAGGGACUGGACGACAACUUAUGCAGGCAUCAGAUGACAAUGAAGUGUAAAUAAAGAGUAGAGGCUAAUAAACAGGAAUUUGAUUUUAAAUAGUGUGGUGUGUUCUGUGUUUUAUACAAGAUUUUAAAUGUUCUAUUAAUUUUUAACAUCCUGGCUGUAGAUAAAGCAGGCUAUUUAAUUUAUGGCAUU